GAUGAACGCUGGCGGCGUGCCUAAUACAUGCAAGUCGAGCGAACAGACGAGGAGCUUGCUCCUCUGACGUUAGCGGCGGACGGGUGAGUAACACGUGGAUAACCUACCUAUAAGACUGGGAUAACUUCGGGAAACCGGAGCUAAUACCGGAUAAUAUAUUGAACCGCAUGGUUCAAUAGUGAAAGACGGUUUUGCUGUCACUUAUAGAUGGAUCCGCGCCGCAUUAGCUAGUUGGUAAGGUAACGGCUUACCAAGGCAACGAUGCGUAGCCGACCUGAGCGGGUGAUCGGCCACGCUGGAACUGAGACACGGUCCAGACUCCUACGGGAGGCAGCAGUAGGGAAUCUUCCGCAAUGGGCGAAAGCUUGACGGAGCAACGCCGCGGGAGUGAUGAAGGUCUGCGGAUCGUAAAACUCUGUUAUUAGGGAAGAACAAAUGUGUAAGUAACUAUGCACGUCUUGACGGUACCUAAUCAGAAAGCCACGGCUAACUAC
This 494-nucleotide ribosomal RNA is filed under the name uncultured bacterium. RNAcentral's name for it is "partial 16S ribosomal RNA". It matches the Rfam family "Bacterial small subunit ribosomal RNA", at positions 28 to 504 of the family's 1533-position model. The record is from RNAcentral.